Oxyura jamaicensis (ruddy duck) is the source of this 867-nucleotide long non-coding RNA. RefSeq lists it as uncharacterized. The record is from RefSeq and is a predicted model, not a curated record. Lineage: Eukaryota; Metazoa; Chordata; Aves; Anseriformes; Anatidae. The transcript is spliced from 2 exons.
CAAAGGGGUGAGGAGCUGAGAAAAGUAGAUGGAGAAGAAGCAGACGUUGGCAGAGACUGGGAGGAAGUGGAUGAGAACUGAGAGACUGAUGGGGAAUUUAGCAGGGGAGCAUUCACAGAGAAGAUCACACUGAAAUUGAAGAGGCUGCAAAAGAAUUAGGGAGUACAUGGAACCUACAACAAGUCUCCAGUAUGUAAAAACGUAUUUAUCCGCUAUUUGUUUUCUCUGUUGGCAGAUACAAUUUUGUGCUAAUGCUGAAGUGUGAGAAUAUGUUAGCAAGGAAAAAUGUUUACUGACCUGCCCAGUCAAACUUUAGAAAUGAACUUAAGGCUCCAACUCAACGACACUAAGCAUAUUAAUAUUCUGGUCUAUGUAAUACAGUCAUGACUUGCAAGAUAAACUGCACAGACCUUUUCAUAUUUCACAAAAGCUUUUCAUAUUUUUAGAGAAAUCUAACCCUGAAUAUGGCAGCUAUUUACAUGUCACUUCUUUUUUAAAAGAUUUUUCACUAGUCAUGGUAAUAUUUCUUGUUAUGAAAGCACCUGCUUACAUUUCAAUGACUUCAGAGAGAUGUAAGUAUGUAAGAAAACACUUAAGCUCAUACUUGAAUAGUUUUUUUCUCAAGUGAGAAAUUUAAUUAAUAAGUGUUAGAUCUGUUCACGAAUAAAAUUAGACAUGUUCCUAAAUUUUUAAUGAAUUAGUUAAUUGUUCUUUGAUAUUGCAAAAUUAUCCAUUACUGAAACUAGUCCCAUGAGUACUUGAAGAUUUAUAUUUCAGCCUUUCAUAAUACCAGAGCAUUCUAAACAUUGAGUAUGGUUUCUACAUCAUUUUCCUCUUUGUUACUAGAAAAUAUUUCUGUCAAUUUGA